RNAcentral lists this ribosomal RNA (946 nucleotides) under Listeria monocytogenes. RNAcentral describes it as "bacterial SSU rRNA". It matches the Rfam family "Bacterial small subunit ribosomal RNA", at positions 569 to 1514 of the family's 1533-position model. Lineage: Bacteria; Bacillati; Bacillota; Bacilli; Caryophanales; Listeriaceae. The record is from RNAcentral.
GCGCAGGCGGUUUCUUAAGUCUGAUGUGAAAGCCCCCGGCUCAACCGGGGAGGGUCAUUGGAAACUGGGAGACUUGAGUGCAGAAGAGGAGAGUGGAAUUCCAUGUGUAGCGGUGAAAUGCGUAGAUAUAUGGAGGAACACCAGUGGCGAAGGCGGCUCUCUGGUCUGUAACUGACGCUGAGGCUCGAAAGCGUGGGGAGCGAACAGGAUUAGAUACCCUGGUAGUCCACGCCGUAAACGAUGAGUGCUAAGUGUUGGAGGGUUUCCGCCCUUCAGUGCUGCAGCAAACGCAUUAAGCACUCCGCCUGGGGAGUACGACCGCAAGGUUGAAACUCAAAGGAAUUGACGGGGGCCCGCACAAGCGGUGGAGCAUGUGGUUUAAUUCGAAGCAACGCGAAGAACCUUACCAGGUCUUGACAUCCUUUGACCACUCUAGAGAUAGAGCUUCCCCUUCGGGGGCAAAGUGACAGGUGGUGCAUGGUUGUCGUCAGCUCGUGUCGUGAGAUGUUGGGUUAAGUCCCGCAACGAGCGCAACCCUUAUUGUUAGUUGCCAUCAUUUAGUUGGGCACUCUAGCGAGACUGCCGGUGACAAACCGGAGGAAGGUGGGGAUGACGUCAAAUCAUCAUGCCCCUUAUGACCUGGGCUACACACGUGCUACAAUGGGAAGUACAACGAGUUGCGAAGUCGCGAGGCUAAGCUAAUCUCUUAAAGCUUCUCUCAGUUCGGAUUGUAGGCUGCAACUCGCCUACAUGAAGCCGGAAUCGCUAGUAAUCGCGGAUCAGCACGCCGCGGUGAAUACGUUCCCGGGCCUUGUACACACCGCCCGUCACACCACGAGAGUUUGUAACACCCGAAGUCGGUGAGGUAACCUUUUUGGAGCCAGCCGCCUAAGGUGGGAUAGAUGAUUGGGGUGAAGUCGUAACAAGGUAGCCGUAUCGGAAGGUG